AGCGCCCCGCCUUGACCCGGCCGUGGUGCGCAGGCGCAGUCUGCGCAGGGACUGGCGGGACUGCGCGGAGGCGACUGCAGACGUAUCGGGGGUCCGGAGCCUGUCGCGGCUGCUAAGCGCUCGGCGCCUGGCGCUGGCGCUGGCCAAGGCUUGGCCAACAGUGUUGCAAACAGGAACCCGAGGUGUUCACUUCACUGUUGAAGGAACGAGAGGGCAUCUGCUAAAGUUUCAGAUUCCAUUUCUGCUCAGUAUCCAGUAGUGGAUCAUGAAUUUGAUGCAGUGGUGGUAGGCGCUGGAGGGGCAGGCUUUGCGAGCUGCAUUUGGCCUUUCCGAGGCAGAGUUUGAUACAGCAUGUGUUACCAAGCUGUUUCCUACCAGGUCACACACUGUUGCAGCGCAGCUAGAAAAUUAUGGCAUGCCGUUUAGCAGAACUGAAGAUGGGAAGAUUUAUCAGCGUGCAUUUGGUGGACAGAGCCUCAAGUUUGGAAAGGGCAGGCAGGCCCAUCGGUGCUGCUGUGUGGCUGAUCGGACCGGCCACUCAAUAUUGCACACCUCAUAUGGGAGGUCUCUGAGAUAUGAUACCAGCUGUUUUGUGGAGUAUUUUGCCUUGGAUCUCCUGAUAGAGAACAGGGAGUGCCGUGGUGUCAUUGCACUGUGCAUAGAGGACGGGUCCAUCCAUCACAUAAGAGCAAAGAACACUGUUGUUGCCACAGGAGUCAAGAAACUUUUCUUUUGAGCUAUUGACAGCUUUUAACAAGUUAUUAUACUCCUAUGAACAAAAUUUGGAGCAUAUUUGUUUCUCUCUGCCUGAUUUCUCCUGAAUUUGGAAACUAUUUGACAUGAGGAUUCUCAACCUGAUAAAAAUGAGCUUUCCUAAUAACUCAAGACCCAUCUGCCUAGGAAUAAACCAUCCCAGCUGUGAGAGACCAGACGAAACCUGAGACCAGAGACUCGUUUUCUUCUAAAAUGCUUUCUCCAAAAGAUUUUUAAACAGAAAAAGGGGGAAAUGUGAAAGGAAAAGAAAACUUGAGGCCCCCAAAAUCACUAAGCUAAAAGGAAAAGUCAAGCUGGGAAUGGCUUAGGGCAAACCUGCCUCCCAUUCUAUGCAAAGUCAUCCCUCCGUGCACUGAGAUAAAUGCUUAUCUAAUUGCCUCCUUUGGAGAGGCUCAUCAGAAACUCAAAAUAAUGCAACCAUUUGACUCUCACCUACCUGUGACCUGGAAGAUCCCUCUCUGCUUGAGUUGUCCUGCUUUUCUGGAUGGAACCAAUGUUCAUCUUACAUAUAUUGAUUGAUGUCUCAUGUCUCCCUAAAAUGUAUAAAACCAAGCUGUGCCCUGACCACCUUGGGCACAUGUCGUCAGGACCUCCUGAGGCUGUGCCACAGGCAUGCAGCCUCAACCUUGGCAAAAUAAACUUUCUAAAUUGACUGAGACCA
This is a long non-coding RNA of Homo sapiens (human), 1435 nucleotides long. Ensembl annotates it as SDHA pseudogene 4. Its record names the gene SDHAP4. Lineage: Eukaryota; Metazoa; Chordata; Mammalia; Primates; Hominidae. The record is from Ensembl.